CUUACAUGGGAAACUAGAAGGAAGGACUUUGCUGUAAUGAUGUCUCAUCAUGUAGUUACAGUUAUACUGAUUGGAUACUCUUACAUUGCAAGAUUUUUCCGGAUAGGCUCAAUUAUCCUUGCCCUGCAUGAUGCAAGUGAUGUUUUCAUGGAAGCUGCAAAAGUUUUUAAAUAUUCUGGGAAGGAGCUUGGAGCGAGCAUUUGCUUUGGAUUAUUUGCUAUCUCAUGGCUCACACUACGACUAAUAUUCUUUCCCUUUUGGGUAAUCAAGACUUCAAGCUCUGAUAUUGUGGACUUCUUGGAUUUAUCAAAGGCCUACCCCAUUUCACUGUACUAUGUUCAAUACAAUGCUGCUGAUGCUACUUGUAUUCCACAUCUAUUGGUGGGUUCUGAUAUGCUCAAUGAUAAUGAGACAGCUGAGAAAUAGGGGAAAAGUGGGGGA
RNAcentral lists this unclassified non-coding RNA (441 nucleotides) under Hevea brasiliensis (rubber tree). The record is from RNAcentral. Lineage: Eukaryota; Viridiplantae; Streptophyta; Magnoliopsida; Malpighiales; Euphorbiaceae.